This 433-nucleotide ribosomal RNA is filed under the name uncultured bacterium. RNAcentral's name for it is "partial 16S ribosomal RNA". It matches the Rfam family "Bacterial small subunit ribosomal RNA", at positions 29 to 507 of the family's 1533-position model. The record is from RNAcentral.
AACGAACGCUGGCGGCAGGCCUAACACAUGCAAGUCGAGCGAGGACUUCGGUUCUAGCGGCGGACGGGUGAGUAACGCGUGGGAAUGUGCCCUUCUCUACGGAAUAGCCCUGGGAAACUGGGAGUAAUACCGUAUACGCCCUAUUGGGGAAAGAUUUAUCGGAGAAGGAUCAGCCCGCGUUGGAUUAGGUAGUUGGUGGGGUAAUGGCCUACCAAGCCGACGAUCCAUAGCUGGUUUGAGAGGAUGAUCCGCCACACUGGGACUGAGACACGGCCCAGACUCCUACGGGAGGCAGCAGUGGGGAAUCUUAGACAAUGGGGGCAACCCUGAUCUAGCCAUGCCGCGUGAGUGAUGAAGGCCUUAGGGUUGUAAAGCUCUUUCAGCUGGGAAGAUAAUGACGGUACCAGCAGAAGAAGCCCCGGCUAACUCCGUG